Molecule: long non-coding RNA, 2739 nt
Organism: Bicyclus anynana (squinting bush brown)
Lineage: Eukaryota; Metazoa; Arthropoda; Insecta; Lepidoptera; Nymphalidae
Exons: 2
Source: RefSeq, a predicted model, not a curated record
UAUAUAUAUAUAUAUAGCUUUCGGCAGUUAAUAAUUUCACUAUUACAAUGUCACAGCCUACAGGUUACUAAAUGGCUAGUGGGAGGUUGUGGCUAACCAUCCUACCGGCAAAGACCCCAAGCAAUUCAGCGUUCCAGUAUGUUGUGUAGAAACCGAAAUGGGUGUGGAUUAUCUUACACACAAGUUAGCCCGUUAUCUUAGAUUGCACCUUCACUUGCCAUCAGGUGAUAUUUUAGUCAAGGGCUAACUUGUAAUUAAUAAACAAAAAACAAGUAUGUAGGUAGGUUUAAAUAAAUACCUACUUAGUUAUUAUUAUGUUUUAAGUGCAGCUUGACUUAUAUAUUUUUUUGUUUUAAAAUAUUAUCUAAAUACGUAUUUUAUUUAAAAUAAUUAUAAUUUUAGUUAUAUAACAACUUAUUAUGUCUGAUGCAAACUUUAUGGCGUAUCGGAAAUUAAAUAUUAGUCUCCGGCCGCUCAGAAAUUGCGUUUCUUACAUGUCGUGAUAGAAUGCGACAAACAUUCAAUUACAAUUGCCUUGUCGUUAUUUUGUCUCAUCCACAGAUUUUAGAGAUAACUAGAUUUAUUAAAUGUCAACAGGCUACUUGCCUGCUGUAUAAAACUAAGAAAGUUUUUUUGCAUGUAGGCAGUAUAUAGGUAUGCGUAAAAACUCUAAUGACAUUUUUAUUUGUGAAAAUAAUGUAAUUAUUAUAUUAUUAUAAAAUAAUUUAAUAUUUUUAUAAUACAAAAUUGUAUUUUUAUCACGUCACCGCAAACGCCAAUCAUAAACUGUGACGUCAUUCGCUACAAGCUCAGACCAAUUAUUGUAUCGGUCCUGCCUCGCUAGACGUUACUUUUCUGUCAAAGUAUAUGAUCAACGAUCUAAUGCGAUUAUAAAAACUGUCUCUAUAGGAUCGAUGUUAAAUAGUUGUAAUCGUGUUCGUCAGUUAAAGAGCUCUGUAAAAAUACCUUUUUGUGUAAUUGAAUUGUGUAAAAAACGGGCAAAAACUUCUAGUUUAGUAUAAGAUAUAUACCAAAUCUAAGCUCGUUUUCCUCAGAAAAUGACAGACAAUUUAGUUCGUGACUAUGAGUGCGAUACAGGUCCUUCUAUAAUUGGUCUGAGGCUACAAGGCAUCGACGUGACAUAUGACAUUGUCCUGUUAAAGGUCCAGCAUACCUUUGGGCGUGGCCAAAAAUAACACAUUUAAAAUGUAAUAAUACUUAUCACACUGAUAAACGUAAUUGGCUGUUUAAUAUUUACCGCUGAUACCUAAAAUCUUGUUUAGCACAGCCGCACGAUGUUCCGAAAUGUCAUAAAUACAUGCUAAUAACAUAAUUCUGUUACACUGAAAGUUAUAGUGUUAUUUUUGUUUUUUUUUUUUUAAUAUUUUUAAAAAGAGUUAAUAAAUGUUUGUUUUGUGUAAAUUUUAUCUUUGGAUAGAUACUAUCUUUUUUUUUAGUUUUUAGGUAUAUAAAUUUAAGAUUAUUUUUGAUAUUAUAAUAAGAUUAAUACAUAGUUUAUGUUACAACUUAAAUAAUAAACCUACUAGUACGUAUAUUUUUAUAUCGAUGCCAUGUCUGACUAUUAAUUAACACUUUCAUUACCGCUACGAUUUUCACGAUGUUUUCUCGGGAGCCGCCUACAUUUUACGUUGGACUCGCUAGGUGAGUCGCCGGCGCUGCGAUACGAAUCAUUCGACUCGCCACGCGAGUUCAGUGGCAUUGCGUUAGGGUAAAAACUAUGUUCUGUUAUUUUUGUGGCCGUGACAGUGUACGUUACGUGUUUAAAGCAAUUAACUAGUAUAUGGUGUAAUUUAACAAAAAGAAAAUGGCAAGAAACACUAUAAAUAAACGAAAAGGCCACCACAAAACACAAUAACAUAGAACACAAGAAUCUCAAAGUCCAGAAAACGUUUGCCAGGGGUUAAAACAGUAGGUACUCCAACAGGUCCAGUAAUCGAAAGCCAAGUCACAAUGAUAGAAAACAAAUAUACGCGUGCGAUAAGGAAAGGGUCGUGCUUAACACUAAUCUAUAUAUAAAGAAAGUCGGGUUUGUUACAACACUUCACUCGAGAUUGACCAAUGAGAGCUUGGCAAAAACAAUGUUAUCAGUGCUUUUAUUGCUUACUAACCAGAGCGUUCAUGUUAAAAAAUACCGGUUCCUUUUGUUUUGCCGGCAAUUUUUAACAAUGCGAAGGGAUCCUCUUUCAGUUGUAACUCUUAAAGUAAUAGACCGAGAGUUGAGUUUGUGUUUUCUGCACCGUUCGUUUAACAAAAACGCAAGGACAGACUCAAAAACUUAGAAGUACCCAUUUGGUGAACACCAAAUUCGAGCCCCUACAAGGUGUCGAACACAAUCCGCCGUUGUUUUACGAGUGAAUGUGACUUUUGGUAAAAUGAAAAUAAAAGUAUCUACCUUUUAUAUAUUUCAUUUAUAAAAGUUUGAGAAUCUAUGUUAGUGAACUCGCCUAGCGAGUUCAAGGCAUUGCAGAAUAGUUUAUUUUCUUUCGAUUAUAAACUGGGUCUGCACACCCGGCCCACCACGUUAUUCAUUAGAUUAGUGUAUAUUUAGUCUUCAGUAUUAUUUUAAGCAGAAAAUACACAUGCAUUUUGAAAAAAAAUUGCAAAAACAUUGAACUCGCGAGGCGAGUCUACGGCGCUGGAAUAAAAUUUACGUGGACUCUCCGGGCGAGUCGGUGGCACUGAACGUGUUAAGUCUGUGACAAUAAAUAUUUUUCGUUA